This 315-nucleotide ribosomal RNA is filed under the name uncultured eukaryote. RNAcentral's name for it is "partial 18S ribosomal RNA". It matches the Rfam family "Eukaryotic small subunit ribosomal RNA", at positions 1470 to 1796 of the family's 1831-position model. The record is from RNAcentral.
CCCUUAGACGUUCUGGGCCGCACGCGCGCUACACUGACCAGUGCAACAAGCAUCCGUCCUUGGCCGACAGGCUCGGGCAAUCUUUGAACGCUGGUCGUGAUGGAGAUAGACUUUUGCAAUUUUUGGUCUUCAACGAGGAAUUCCUAGUAAACGCAAGUCAUCAACUUGCAUUGAUUACGUCCCUGCCCUUUGUACACACCGCCCGUCGCACCUACCGAUUGAAUGGUCCGGUGAAGCCUCCGGAUUGGCGCGCACCUCGGUGCCGCCGAGAAGUUGGCUAAACCUUACCAUUUAGAGGAAGGUGAAGUCGUAACA